UACGGAGGGCGCGAGCGUUGUCCGGAAUCAUUGGGCGUAAAGGGCGCGUAGGUGGCGGGACAAGCGUGCGGUGAAAGCCUGGGGCUCAACCCCGGGUCGGCCGUGCGAACUGUUUUGCUUGAGCACUGUAGAGGCAGGCGGAAUUCCGGGUGUAGCGGUGGAAUGCGUAGAGAUCCGGAAGAACACCGGUGGCGAAGGCGGCCUGCUGGGCAGUAGCUGACACUGAGGCGCGACAGCGUGGGGAGCAAACAGG
This 253-nucleotide ribosomal RNA is filed under the name uncultured bacterium. RNAcentral describes it as "partial 16S ribosomal RNA". It matches the Rfam family "Bacterial small subunit ribosomal RNA", at positions 524 to 776 of the family's 1533-position model. The record is from RNAcentral.